GCAGUUGCCAAGUUACCAGGAUCAGGUCAUGAUUCAUACAGCAGACAGCCAUAUUAGGAAAUACCUUUAAGUAUAAAUACCAUUUGAAGGAAGGCUGUUUUUAUCUAUACUUUCAUGACAAAACAAUGGGUCUGAUUGUUAUUUACCCUGAAAAAUUUGCUAAAAGACUUCAGCUUUCUGUCAGAAUAAAGUAGAAUUAAUUAUGAAGUUAUAUACGUAGUUAGUUCACAACAGCCAUCCAUGAAUGGAAGACUGACAUCGCACAAGGAAACUUAGGUGUCCGAACAAAUCUAGUGGAAUCCAGCACCUUCCUACUGAUUCUUCUACGUCUGAUACUUGUCAGUGUGUCUAGGGCCUUGUGCAAUCCUGCCAAUGUGCCAUAGCAGGAGUUUCACCAGAGCAGUAACUCUGUAUGGCAGAGCCUGGCGAGGCACCGAGGUUCACCCAUGUUCCGGCAUCGACACCGGCUGAGCUCCUGGCGCCUGUGGACAGGGUCACUCGAAGGGCAGGGCUGAGACAAAAGGUUUAUUAAAGUUUAAACAACCUGGUUGCUGUGAAGGUAUCUUUCAUUUGUUCUGACAUCUCCACUGUCAGCAGGAAUGACAAAGUGUUUAUCACUCGCUUUCUCUAGGACUGAGGGAAAUGGAAAUCUGGAAGGGUUUAGCUGGGGUGUCCAGCCAAGAUGAGCCAUGGGGUUUGGUGGUGUGAUAGCAAACGUUAAUGAACAGGCAGGGCAAAUGUUGCCAAGAGGAAGUUUGAAGGACACCAAGACAUCUUAAUUUCUGAUGUCUCCAAGAUACCCUUCUUAGAGAAUCUGCAGCAUGUGGUGAGAGCCUCCAAGCAAGAAUCUCUUUUGGAUCUGCCAGGAGAGAACGGGCUCUUCAAAAGGCAACCAGAUUGAAACCUAUGGCUCUGAGGAUCAAGGCCUGAACCCUCAGUACUAGGAGAACUUGGAAAGACUGGUUGCAUCUGUGAGAGUAUAAAACAACAUCGUUUUUUCAUGUCUUCUCAUGCUUUCCCAAAUACUCGGUUACCCUAGUGUUACCUCUCUCUCAUCAAGUUCCUUGCAAAGAGGUUUUUCUGAGAUGCUCAAACACAUUCGUCAAGCUUUCUGAGGUAGAAAUAUAAAACUGAGUGUCAUCAGGAUUCCCUUUAGGCCAUGGCUCCUCUGAACUAAAUUGAGCAUUUGUAAAAGAGAAAUUAAUCUGCCUUUGUGUUAAGGCUCAGGGGCUGAAGAGGAAUUGUCCUGCCUUACCCUCAGGCUUUCUGUCUUCAAGAGUUUGCAAGUCAGUAAGUACCACAUCACUCCUGGCUCAAAAGUUUUUGCUAGAUCAAAGUAAGGACAUCUAAGGACUAAUAGGAGUUUCAUCAUCUCUAGCAAGUGAUGCUUCUUGCUGUCAGUCAGACAAACUGACUGGCAGAAACGUGUAGCUUCAGUAGAUGGCUGAUGACCAUCCAAAUACAGAUGUCAGAGACUGAGGCUUGUAAGGCAGAGAUCUUCGUUAUGAGCUGCUUUUGCUGUGUUUCUCACUAAAUGCCAGUAGUGAAACUACAGCCUUAAAUUGAUCGAUAUUUUGCCAUCACCUUGAGGAAAGUAAAGAUUUCACCUGCCGAGUUUGAGACUUUUCUUCUCUACUAAUGUGUGCAGAGAGGGCAAGGGUAGGCCUCCCAGGGAACUGAACUGAAGAAAGGCUUUCCAUUAAAAAAAUAUAAAAAGCUUCCUUUUAUAAAGCUAAUUUUAGUCUUCUGCUUAACACCCUGUCCAAGGAAAGGACAAGGCAGUGACAACUGUCUCUUUAAUGUUACUAGUUUAGGACUGAAAAACUUUUGUUAGAAGUAAGUGACUUUAGUCAAGGAUUUUUGUAGUGAUAACAGAGAGUUGUUUGGGAUGUGUUACAACAUUAGGAUAAGCUUGGAUGUUGGCUCUAGAUAUUUGGCAUUGUGAGAGUUAAAUAAUUUGUUUUUAUUCUUUCCUAAUCAAUAACUGAUAUUUUGGAUUGCAUCACAGUUACUGUAUGAGCAUUGUAGAUGACCAUUUUUUCUCUUCAUUAAGACUCUGGUCAUUUUUUACUGUAACUUAUUGAGAUCAAUAAAAGCUUAAUGUGUUAA
This is a long non-coding RNA of Columba livia (rock pigeon), 2109 nucleotides long. RefSeq lists it as uncharacterized. NCBI's taxonomy places the organism in Eukaryota, Metazoa, Chordata, Aves, Columbiformes, Columbidae. The transcript is spliced from 2 exons. The record is from RefSeq and is a predicted model, not a curated record.